CCUGACCUCUAGUGAUCCUCCCGCCUCGGCCUCCCAGAGUGCUAGGAUUACAGGCGUGAGCCACCACACCCGGCCAAAUGCUGUGAAAUGAACAGUCACAGAGUCUCUGUGGCAUAUAGCAAUAAACAUUUAAUUUGGGCAUGAGGGGAGUUCAAUGAGUCUGGACUGGGCUUGGCUAAUCUCAGCUGAGCUUACUCGUACAGCUUUGGUCAGCUGAAGAGGUCACCAUGAGGACCAUAGCUGGGUUUGUUUACAUUUUUGGUGGCCAAUUGGAUGUUGGCUAAUGUACAGCAGAUUCAGCUGGAAAGGCUGGGUGGCCAGGCCAUGUUCCAUGAGUCCCAUCCCCCAGUGGCCAGCCCACGCUGUCCUUCCCGGGGAAUUAGCAGAGGGCAAAACCAGUGGUGCCUGUGCCUUUCAAACCUCUGCUUGAGUUACCUUUGCUAACCUCUCACUGGCCAAGUCAAGUCACAUGACUGAGCCCGGACCAGAGUGUGAAGUCACUGAAAAGUACAUGGCAGAGGGUGAGCUGGACACAAAGAAAGGUGAAGAACCGAGCAUAUUUUUGUAAUCCACAUACAGGAUAUGGGGCAGAAUUACGAAUUCAGGUCUGGAAUUUUGAGUUUGAAGCGCAUGGGAGGAAUCGUGGCAGAGGCACGCCAUAGAGACGUGGUUGUGAGGGAAGGGAGUUCUGGAGGCGGGUUGCCCAGCUAUGCAGGUUUGGAGGUGACUUACCAAGAGAGGCAGAAGCCAUGCAAAACCACGUCCCGGGAGAGUGUGUGAGGUGAGGAGAGUGGAGGUGAAGAUGGGACCCAGGGACCAAAUUCCUCCUCUGCCUCUGAGCCUCAGACUUUCUACCUGGGUGGCUGGAGAGAACAGCUGACUGUCCCUGUGCUCCUUCCUUCUGUUCCCUGUGGCAGGGCCAUUACGUCAGCCUUCUAGGGGGCGUCCUUCCCACAGGACCCCCAGAAUGCAACAAGGCUGGCUCCCCUUGGAGUUGGGCGACACGUAGGCACUGCUGGGUGCCGGGGCCCGAGGAGGCCUCCCUGGCUACAUAGCUUCCCUCUCGCAGGGGUGGGCUCUGCCCCUCAAGUACGCAUCGACGGGCCAGAGGAUGACGGGGUCCACGUGGUGAGCACGGCCUCGGGGUGGUUCCCAAAGCCCCAGGUGCAGUGGAGGGACCUCAGUGGAGAGAAGUUCCUGGGGUUCUCCGAGGCCCAUGCCCAAGACGCUGAGGAGCUGUUCAGUGUGGAAGCCGCUCUGGUGGUGGGAGACAGCUGUGUGGGGAAUGUGACCUGCUCCAUCCUCAACCCCAUCCUGGGCCAGGAGAAGGCGAUGGCCACUUUCAGCCCAGGUGCAGCAGGAACGGGAGAGUGUGCGCCGGGCUAAGGAGGAGGACCAGAAGGCAAAGGAGGAGGCGCAGAAGGCUGGCGACUGGAGGAAGGAAACUUGCCUGGUUGUGGGCACCGUGGCUCACGCC
Molecule: long non-coding RNA, 1477 nt
Organism: Lemur catta (Ring-tailed lemur)
Lineage: Eukaryota; Metazoa; Chordata; Mammalia; Primates; Lemuridae
Exons: 4
Source: RefSeq, a predicted model, not a curated record